RNAcentral lists this ribosomal RNA (433 nucleotides) under uncultured bacterium. RNAcentral describes it as "partial 16S ribosomal RNA". It matches the Rfam family "Bacterial small subunit ribosomal RNA", at positions 339 to 795 of the family's 1533-position model. The record is from RNAcentral.
CUACGGGGGGCAGCAGCCAGGAAUAUUGGGCAAUGGACGAAAGUCUGACCCAGCGACGCCGCGUGGAGGAAGACGGCCUUAGGGUUGUAAACUCCUUUUGCCAAGUUUUUCAAGGCUUGGCGAAUAAGCCUCUACUAACUACGUGCCAGAAGUCUCGGUAAUACGUAGGAGGCAAGCGUUAUCCGGAUUCACUGGGCGUAAAGUGUGCGUAGGCGCCUUAGAAAGUCAUAUCUUAAAUACCAAGGCUUAACCUUGGAAAUGGGCAUGAUACUUUUAAGGUUGAGGAUUAUCAGGGAUGCUGGAACAGUUAGUGUAGUAGUGAAAUGCGUUGAUAUUAACUGGAACACCAAGGGCGAAGGCAGGCAUCUGGGAUUUUCCUGACGCUGAGGCACGAAAGCUAGGGUAGCGAAACGGAUUAGAUACCCUCGUAGUC